GAUGAACGCUGGCGGCGUGCCUAAUACAUGCGAGUCGAGCGAACAGACGAGGAUCUUGCUCCUCUGACGUUAGCGGCGGACGGGUGAGUAACACGUGGAUAACCUACCUAUAAGACUGGGAUAACUUCGGGAAACCGGAGCUAAUCCCGGAUAAUAUAUUGAACCGCAUGGUUCAAUAGUGAAAGACGGUUUUGCUGUCACUUAUCGAUGGAUCCGCGCCGCAUUAGCUAGUUGUUAAGGUAACGGCUUACCAAGGCAACGAUGCGUAGCCGACCUGAGAGGGGGAUCGGCCACACGGGAACUGAGACACGGUCCAGACUCCUACGGGAGGCAGCAGUAGGGAAUCGUCCGCAAUGGGCGAAAGCCUGACGGAGCAACGCCGCGUGAGUGAUGAAGGUCUUCGGAUCGUAAAACUCUGUUAUUAGGGAAGAACAAAUGUGUAAGUAACUAUGCACGUCUUGACGGUACCUAAUCAGAAAGCAACGGCUAACUACGUG
RNAcentral lists this ribosomal RNA (497 nucleotides) under uncultured bacterium. RNAcentral describes it as "partial 16S ribosomal RNA". It matches the Rfam family "Bacterial small subunit ribosomal RNA", at positions 28 to 507 of the family's 1533-position model. The record is from RNAcentral.